RNAcentral lists this ribosomal RNA (111 nucleotides) under Treponema zioleckii. Lineage: Bacteria; Pseudomonadati; Spirochaetota; Spirochaetia; Treponematales; Treponemataceae. The record is from RNAcentral.
GCCGGUGGCCAUGGCUGGGGGGAAAUACCCGUUCCCGUUCCGAACACGGAAGUCAAGCCCCCACGCGCCGAUGAUACUGCCCCAUGGCGGGAAAGUAGGGCGCCGCCGGCU